ACGGGAGGCAGCAGUGAGGAAUAUUGGUCAAUGGGCGGAAGCCUGAACCAGCCAUGCCGCGUGAGGGACGAAUGCCCUAUGGGUUGUAAACCUCUUUUGCCGCAGAGUAAUAAGGGUCCUGCGGGGCCCGAUGAGAGUAUGCGGCGAAUAAGCAUCGGCUAACUCCGUGCCAGCAGCCGCGGUAAUACGGAGGAUGCAAGCGUUAUCCGGAUUUAUUGGGUUUAAAGGGUGCGCAGGCGGCACGUUAAGUCAGCGGUGAAAUGCAGGGGCUCAACCCCGGCACUGCCGUUGAAACUGGCGAGCUCGAGUACGGAUGAAGUCGGCGGAAUGUGAUGUGUAGCGGUGAAAUGCUUAGAUAUGUCACAGAACACCGAUUGCGAAGGCAGCUGACUAAUCCGCAACUGACGCUCAGGCACGAAAGCGUGGGGAUCGAACAGGAUUAGAUACCCUGGUA
Molecule: ribosomal RNA, 454 nt
Filed under: uncultured Barnesiella sp.
Lineage: Bacteria; Pseudomonadati; Bacteroidota; Bacteroidia; Bacteroidales; Barnesiellaceae
Description: partial 16S ribosomal RNA
Rfam family: Bacterial small subunit ribosomal RNA
Source: RNAcentral